Molecule: ribosomal RNA, 450 nt
Filed under: uncultured bacterium
Lineage: Bacteria
Description: bacterial SSU rRNA
Rfam family: Bacterial small subunit ribosomal RNA
Source: RNAcentral
GUGGGGAAUAUUGGACAAUGGGCGAAAGCCUGAUCCAGCCAUGCCGCGUGUGUGAAGAAGGUCUUCGGAUUGUAAAGCACUUUAAGUUGGGAGGAAGGGCAGUAAGUUAAUACCUUGCUGUUUUGACGUUACCAACAGAAUAAGCACCGGCUAACUUCGUGCCAGCAGCCGCGGUAAUACGAAGGGUGCAAGCGUUAAUCGGAAUUACUGGGCGUAAAGCGCGCGUAGGUGGUUUUGUAAGUUGGAGGUGAAAUCCCCGGGCUCAACCUGGGAACGGCCUCCAAAACUGCAUGACUAGAGUACGGUAGAGGGUAGUGGAAUUUCCUGUGUAGCGGUGAAAUGCGUAGAUAUAGGAAGGAACACCAGUGGCGAAGGCGACUACCUGGACUGAUACUGACACUGAGGUGCGAAAGCGUGGGGAGCAAACAGGAUUAGAUACCCCAGUAGUCC